This 423-nucleotide ribosomal RNA is filed under the name uncultured bacterium. RNAcentral describes it as "bacterial SSU rRNA". It matches the Rfam family "Bacterial small subunit ribosomal RNA", at positions 28 to 444 of the family's 1533-position model. The record is from RNAcentral.
GAUGAACGCUGGCGGCGUGCUUAACACAUGCAAGUCGAACGGACUUAUGAUGAAGCCUAGCGAUUCAUAAGUUAGUGGCGGACGGGUGAGUAACGCGUGGGUAACCUGCCUUAUACAGGGGGAUAACACUUAGAAAUAGGUGCUAAUACCGCAUAAGCGCACAGUUUCGCAUGAAACAGUGUGAAAAACUCCGGUGGUAUAAGAUGGACCCGCGUCUGAUUAGCUAGUUGGUGAGGUAACGGCCCACCAAGGCGACGAUCAGUAGCCGGCCUGAGAGGGUGAACGGCCACAUUGGGACUGAGACACGGCCCAAACUCCUACGGGAGGCAGCAGUGGGGAAUAUUGCACAAUGGGGGAAACCCUGAUGCAGCGACGCCGCGUGAGUGAAGAAGUAUUUCGGUAUGUAAAGCUCUAUCAGCAAGG